This 492-nucleotide ribosomal RNA is filed under the name uncultured bacterium. Its description in RNAcentral is "partial 16S ribosomal RNA". It matches the Rfam family "Bacterial small subunit ribosomal RNA", at positions 29 to 507 of the family's 1533-position model. The record is from RNAcentral.
AGUGAACGCUGGCGGUAGGCCUAACACAUGCAAGUCGAACGGCAGCACAGUAAGAGCUUGCUCUUACGGGUGGCGAGUGGCGGACGGGUGAGGAAUACAUCGGAAUCUACUUUUUCGUGGGGGAUAACGUAGGGAAACUUACGCUAAUACCGCAUACGACCUACGGGUGAAAGCAGGGGAUCUUCGGACCUUGCGCGAUUGAAUGAGCCGAUGUCGGAUUAGCUAGUUGGCGGGGUAAAGGCCCACCAAGGCGACGACCCGUAGCUGGUCUGAGAGGAUGAUCAGCCACACUAGAACUGAGACACGGUCCAGACUCCUACGGGAGGCAGCAGUGGGGAAUAUUAGACAAUGGGCGCAAGCCUGAUCCAGCCAUACCGCGUGGGUGAAGAAGGCCUUCGGGUUGUAAAGCCCUUUUGUUGGGAAAGAAAAGCAGCAGGUUAAUACCCCGCUGUUCUGACGGUACCCAAAGAAUAAGCACCGGCUAACUUCGUG